Non-coding RNA from Habropoda laboriosa, 66 nucleotides. Lineage: Eukaryota; Metazoa; Arthropoda; Insecta; Hymenoptera; Apidae. The record is from Rfam.
AAUAGUUGGUGUGGCGCGCAAAGCCUCGGCUUGCUGAGCCGAAAGUCCCGGGUUCGAUUCCCGGUU